GUGGGAACUUUGGAAUGGACCUUGGCCUCCUGCAUGCUACUUUUCUGUAUCUCCUUCACUGCAUCUACUUCUCUGUCCUGAUUUACUGAUUCACACAUGAGGGGCUUUUUGCUCUGGAAGGCACUGACACCGACUGAGGUAGACGUGCAUGGCAUAUUGAGGAGCCAGGCUCAAGACUGAAAAGCUACAGGCACUUGAAAUUAUUCUAAACUGAAGCGUUAUAAUUGGAACAGAGCAGCCAGCCUUUAAAGAAAUGUUUACAUGGAAGACAUCUUGGAAUUGGGCAGACCCGUUGUCCUGGUGCUCCUGGCACAGAGAGGUCUGGAAGAGAACAGCUGGGAUUUGGGCAGAACCCUGUGCCAUGGUGACAUUAGUCAGCUGCUUCUGGCACAGAGAGCUGGCAGGAUCUGCUGGGGCUAAACCAAGCCUCUGUUUGGGGCCCAAUAAGCAGAUACAAAAUAGUCACAACUCUGUGACAUCCAGAAAGUACAGCCUAAUUUCCGGAUUGACUGGCACAGAGGCUGGAGGCUAGCCUGCACUGUCCCUGCAUCCCUGCCUACCCCAGAUAACAGCAAAUUGGGGAGAACAGCAAAAACUCAAGUCAGCAUGCUUCUGAAAGGCCCUAAGCAAUAUGGAGAGGGCCAGAGACCCCCCAGGACACUCCAGUCUGAAAGAAACCAGAAACACGACAAGAGAUAAAAAUAAAAAAAGAUCUCCAGCUGCCCAACAUGAGAAAAUAAGCCCAGGAGAAGUAAACACUGAAGAGAACAAGCACAGUAACCAUCCAAUACUGGACACAGCAUCAAUCGAAAUUAAAAAAUACCUCCAUGACUUCAUAGAUGAAUUUAAAGCUGUACUCCUGAUCUGUGAGGCAAGAUAUAAAGAGAUUAAUUAAAGAAAUGACAAGCCCCACCCAAGAGAACACAGAUGGAAGAACUGAGGAAGUCAGAAAAGAAAGAGAAACUUCUGAAGAAGAAUUUAAACAUAACUUAGAAUACAUGAAACAGAUCCAAAAAGAUUACCAGGAAACUAACAACUCCAUUGAACCCUGACAAAAUAUCCUGACAGAAACUAAAGCCAGCCUUCUGAAACUUGAAGAGAGAUUUAUGACAUAUGAUUGUGAAAGAAAAAAACCUCUUAAAAAUAACAAGGAACCAGAAAGAAACAAUUCAAAGGCUAGAAGAUGACAAAAGGAUACCUAACUGAAGAAUAAAGAAUGUGAGUGAGGAAGCAGGAGCAACCAAAAAUGAAAUACAAAGAAUAUUCACAGAUAUAUUAAAGCAAAAUUUCCCACGUAUAGCAAAAAGAAAUGAUAUCCAGAUAAAAGAGGCAUACAGAACACCAGCUACCUACAACCAAAACAGAUCUAUGCCUAGACAUAUAAUAAUCAAGAUUCCAGAAACCCACCAAAAGAACAGAAUAUUAAAAGCAGCCAGAGAAAAGAAGCAGAUUACUUACAAUGGGAAAAUUAUCAAAAUAACAACAGACUUAUCAACACAAACUCUUAAGUCAAGAAGGGAAUGGGGAGAAAUAUUCCAAGUCCUGAAAGAAAAUAAUAUGCAACCAAGACUCAUAUACCCGUCAAAACUCUCUCUCAAAAUUAAUGGAGAAAUAAGAUGCUUCCAAGACAAGGAGGGACUGUGGGAGUUCGUGGCCACCAAUCCAACCCUACAGAGAGUGCUGAAGGACAUUCCAGAGAAAGAGAGGAAGGGAUACCAGCAUUCCAGCAACAGGGCAAAGAGGCCUCAAUGAAUGGGGCAGACAGUGGAAUGAGGGAAUAAGGUGGACAAAUUAUAGCAGAAAAGUGGAGUAGCAGACAUGAGGCUGAGACAGUAAGCUAUAGUCUUUAGUGUAGACAGCUCUGAAACACUAUAAAAAAAGGCAGAGGUCAUUGUUAAUAUUGUAUCAGAAUUUAAAAGACACAGUAGUCUUAUCGCCAUGUUUAGUUUGUAUUUAAUUUGUUCUGGUCUGUCCAUUCAUGUCAGAUUUGAGGGCACAGACAUCUGACCCAAAAACAGCAGGUUAUACCAUGGUAACUAUCCAUACUUUCCUAUUAACUUAAACUGAAAUCCUGUAUUACUUACAUUGUCUUACUAUGACUGAUCUUAAUUGAAUCCGAUUCAUAAGUCCAUGGGUUGGCCUUGGCUGAUUUUAUUUGAAUUUGUUAUGCUUGUUAGUAUCAACCCUAAAAGUAGAGGCAACUACUCUGAAGAUGACAAGAUGUAAAGGAUAUCCAUACUGGUAUUAAUUAUUAACAGCUCUCAAAUCCUACAAUGCUUUCAAAGUUGAGUUUUUAUAAAAAUAGGUAAUACUAUGUUUAACUAUAUUAAGCCAAUGUUGUGGACAAAUCUAUUGAAAAUAACAAGAGAAAACAUAGUAACUACGGAAGAUCACCUAUAUUGUGGUCUUAUAUGUCUUAUCCAUUGCAUGUUUUUCUAGGAAUUUGUUUUGCUGUCUUGUUACGACUUGUUUUUCCCUAUAAUACAGAGAGGAUAGAUAUAUAUGUAGAAAUUCACACAUGAGUUUUUUAAAAAAAUUAUUUACAGGAACAGAUUAUAUAAUGCAAGAUGUAAUGAACAGAUACUCUGAAGAAGAGACGCUAAGAAACCCAAUGCUAAUUUUGUAGCAUUAUGAUAUAAAUUCUAGCAAUACUAUUGUUCGCUGAUUAGAAUGAUAUUGGUCUGGUCUCUUGAGUUCAAUUUCAGCAUAUGUAGAUAUGGGGAUGGCUACCACGAAGAGAAUGAGACAUGAGAUAGUAGCUAUUAUUAUCUUCUCUAAUGUUGGAUCUUGAAGACCUAAAAAGCCUUAAUCAUCCUGUAAUGAUUUGAUUAGUUCUAUAAUAUGCAAUAAGUAUAUAAUGUGGGUGAAGAUGGGGAUAACUAUUUGGAAGAAACUAGAGACAGAUAGACAGUGAAGAUCUCCAGUGGACUUGCUUUGAAAUCUGUAUUUCUUUAAAUUGUUUUUUUAACUGUUUUGUUCUGUUUUGAUAUGUUUAAUCUUACCCUCUUUGAGAUGUAAAACAAGUAUGUAGGACUGAUAAACCAUAUUACUGAGUUUUUGUUCGAUCAUUGAGCAGAACUGUUUGCAGUGUAACUUUUUGAAUGUCAUUUUAAAUACUUUAAUUUUGUAACCUGAACAGCUAUUUCUAAGAUGACAAUAUGUAACUUAUCAACCAGCAAUUUCUUACUGUUUGUUUUUCUGUAAUUUUGUUUUAUUUCUACCCUUUUUUAUCUCCAUGUAUUUUUUUGUUUCCUUUUCUUUAAAUA
Molecule: long non-coding RNA, 3266 nt
Organism: Cavia porcellus (domestic guinea pig)
Lineage: Eukaryota; Metazoa; Chordata; Mammalia; Rodentia; Caviidae
Exons: 3
Source: RefSeq, a predicted model, not a curated record